This 253-nucleotide ribosomal RNA is filed under the name uncultured bacterium. RNAcentral's name for it is "partial 16S ribosomal RNA". It matches the Rfam family "Bacterial small subunit ribosomal RNA", at positions 524 to 776 of the family's 1533-position model. The record is from RNAcentral.
UACGUAGGGUCCGAGCGUUGUCCGGAAUUACUGGGCGUAAAGAGCUCGUAGGUGGUUUGUCGCGUUGUCCGUGAAAACUCACAGCUCAACUGUGGGCGUGCGGGCGAUACGGGCAGACUGGAGUACUGCAGGGGAGACUGGAAUUCCUGGUGUAGCGGUGAAAUGCGCAGAUAUCAGGAGGAACACCGGUGGCGAAGGCGGGUCUCUGGGCAGUAACUGACGCUGAGGAGCGAAAGCGUGGGGAGCGAACAGG